This 403-nucleotide ribosomal RNA is filed under the name Acanthamoeba sp. RNAcentral's name for it is "SSU rRNA". It matches the Rfam family "Eukaryotic small subunit ribosomal RNA", at positions 755 to 1116 of the family's 1831-position model. Lineage: Eukaryota; Discosea; Longamoebia; Acanthamoebidae. The record is from RNAcentral.
CCGUGAAAAAAUUAGAGUGUUCAAAGCAGGCAGAUCCAAUUUUCUGCCACCGAAUACAUUAGCAUGGGAUAAUGGAAUAGGACCCUGUCCUCCUAUUUUCAGUUGGUUUUGGCAGCGCGAGGACUAGGGUAAUGAUUAAUAGGGAUAGUUGGGGGCAUUAAUAUUUAAUUGUCAGAGGUGAAAUUCUUGGAUUUAUGAAAGAUUAACUUCUGCGAAAGCAUCUGCCAAGGAUGUUUUCAUUAAUCAAGAACGAAAGUUAGGGGAUCGAAGACGAUCAGAUACCGUCGUAGUCUUAACCAUAAACGAUGCCGACCAGCGAUUAGGAGACGUUGAAUACAAAACACCACCAUCGGUUGCGGUCGUCCUUGGCGUCUCGGUUUCGGCCGGGGCGCGGGGAUGGCUA